This is a long non-coding RNA of Mercenaria mercenaria, 4863 nucleotides long. RefSeq lists it as uncharacterized. The transcript is spliced from 5 exons. Lineage: Eukaryota; Metazoa; Mollusca; Bivalvia; Venerida; Veneridae. The record is from RefSeq and is a predicted model, not a curated record.
ACUUGGAGUAAUUCAGUAGCAUGGCAAUGUGGACACAGAUCCUGAUUUUGGUAAAAGAAGUACUCGAAAUAUCCGACGAAAAGCAAUUUCUUGGAUUAUACACGAAGAAAAUGUUAGUUAAUGGAACAAUAGCAGCAGUAGAACUACCUUGCUGGUACCCUAACGAAGCCGGUCAUCAGAUGUGCAUUGAAACCCUAUCGAACCCUUGUGUUACCAUGGUAAUCAGCCGUUAUCAACAAGGCAUGGUAGUGCAUGGAUAUAGUGGAAUUCAAGCCUUGGUGGACCUUUCUUCUGUAUUUGUCCAGUCUUGUUGAUGGUAGACAGCUGUUCCACACCUCGUACACAACAGAGAAACCCCCUCGGACGAAGAAUUCGUUCAGAUCUAAAAGGCAAGAAGACAGUUUUUGCCAUUAUUGAAAGACAUAGGAAAAAAGGCAAUGACAGAAAACAAAUAUCACCAUACCGUCUUGUCUUGAAUGUUUCCAACAUCUGACAGCCCGAUGUAAGCCAGAUUUACAAGUAAGAAGUAUCUGCAGAAGAAAGAACCAAUUAUGGUAGAUCCACGACAGUCCUGGCACAAGCAAACAUGGCAUCACCACAGCCCUGACACAAGCCUUGUUGAGAUUAGAUAUAAACUUACAUGUAUAUAAUUAUACCUUCAUGUACAAAGUACACGGGAUUAUAUUGGAGUCACACAUGUCAGCGGGUCCGUUCGUCCGAUCUGUCCAUCAUGCCCGCUGGGAAGAUUAAAAUAAUGGCUUCAUUUAUUAGCCUCAACAACAAUGUUCGUUGUACACAACCCGAGUUACUAGGCCCAAUGCCACUAUUACUCUUGGAGGACAAAGUUCAAAUAACUUUAAUUUAGUGUCCGCUCCAUAUUGUAUUAACUGCAACGAAUAUUUAGGUCAAGCAUUCGUUAUUGUACUCGCCUUCAGGGUCUCUGUCACCAUUGCAUUCAGGUUAAUAUUUUAUAUGAUUCUCAAAGUCACUAUAUUUUCUUAACUACUGCCCAUAUUAGCAUCAAAAUUCACAUAAGUGUUGAUUGUGGUAAAACGCAGACAUUUAUUUGUUAGGGGUCAAGCAUCCAAAAGGUCAUAUUUUGUAAUUGUGCUGGUUAAAUCUUAGAUUGUUUCUUAUAUCAUCUCAUUCACCCGCCCCUACUCCCUACCCUACCCCAAAAGGAAAAAAAGUCUUAUUGUUUUAUCACUCAUGCUUACUUAUAUCCUAUAACAAUAAAUAUUGGUCAGCAUUUCCGAAUAGUCACGCGGGCUUUCCUUACAACAGUUCUUGAUAUGAAUACAGGAUUAGUAAAUAGAUUUAAGCACUCACAACCUAGUUCAUUCGGUCAAAGGUCAAGUUCUGACUUAAAAGACCGCACCAUAUUGUCUAAUCUAAUAAAGUAAGCACUAACUGUCAAUUCCAUCUAGCCACUAGGUUAAAGGUCAGUGUGACACAUAUGAGGUCAAAGGUCAAAUAGCUUUGUGUCUGCUACAUAUCUUGUAACCCCAUAUUCCAUACACUCAUAAAACUAGCAAUAAAUAUCAAGAAGACCUGUUAGAAACCCAGAUUAUUAGAUCCAUGGACAAGGUUAUACUUGAAUGUCAAAAUGAUGACCAAAAUUGACUUACCCUGCAUCAAAGCAGCGUCUGGGGGUAACAAUAGCACUAGUUUAUCAUUUUAGCGGACUAAAUUUGUAAUUGUAUCAACCAUUUGACAACCAUUUGACAAAUAUUUCCUAAAUUUUAGGAUAAAUAUUUAAAACAAAUAUCAGGAAAUUGUUUGUUUUUUGAUACAGUCGGACUAUUUUUUAGACACAACGGAUAUUUAGCUUGAUUUGUUGACAGUCAUGAUUUCAUGCAAGUUAUUUUUCUAAAUGAUAUUUUUAUUACAAAUACAAAAUGUAGCACAUUUGACAUUAAUGUAAAAAAUCAGGGACAGCGAAUUUUGUAAGAAAAAAUAUAGUAGGUUAAAUAUUUCAAAAAUUUUUGCUCUUUUGAACAGUUGCGUUUUAACUGGUCAGGGAUUGUUUCAAAAAUAAAUAUGCGUAGUUUAGUUGAUGUAUAAAAAGCUACUUUUCGCAACUUGUAUAUUUUGGAGUGGGGGCUAAAUUCCAAACCCUCAUAUAUUUUAAAACAUAUAGAGGACAUUCCUUUGUUUUAGUGUAAGCUCGAAACAGAAACAUUCUAGUGUUCACACGUGAAAAUUUUUAAAAGGUAAUCACGCGGAUUUUAUUCUAAUGCAUAUUAUUAUUAUUUUUAUUUUAUAUUUUCUGCCAACGUAAUGCCAUACGCUAUAUGCAACGUAACUCUACAUUUUAUGGCAAUACUUAUGUUGGAAAAAAGUGACAUAGUAACAUUUCAAUCUACAUGUAAUGUUUUAGUUAAAAAGAUAUCCGAUUCUACGUUAUUUUAUAUUCUUGCGUUAAAUUGUUGUUAAAACAAGUAAAAAUUGUAUUUGGAUUUCUCACCUUUUAAGAGCGGCUUUAUCAGGGUAUAAUGCAUCGUCAUUUUCUUGAAAUCUUCUCAAAAUAUGGUAUAUAAUUCCAUAUGCUAGUAACUGCAGAAUGUACCGAUAAGACCUUAAUUCUUUUAUUCAAAUCCGCAUUCUAGUCCUUUGUCUGGGUCAUCUAAAUGCUGCUUUUAAAAGUCAUUUUGGCCUCAUUUUUAUACACUGAUUUUUACACACUUGUUUGGCAUAACUUUUAACCAACACCUAACUCUGAGCACUAACCUUAACCAUUCGGGGCUGAAGUGACUGUUAAAGCAACUUUGUCUUUUAUGGGAACAAGACUAGCAUAUCUUUAUAAAUGAUGGGUAAAAAUUGUUGGCAAACUUUCAGGUUUUUAGUCUACGCUUUUAAUGAAGUACUGUAAUAUAACGUUAGAUUAUAACAUGAUAAAUUCAUUGUUUUAAACAGAGAGAAAUCCAAAUAUGAUGUUUACUAGAACGGAACUACACUUGAACGCGAAAGGAUAUGAAUUGUAAGGACGUGAAAUAUGCUUAAAAGCAACAAAGUUGUAGCAAACACGAAUAUACACGAGAAAGUCAUUGAAAUAUAAAACAUUCUUAUACAUAUCUUAGACCUAUUGGAACUCAUUUUCCAACAUAAGCAUUGUGACGUCAUAAAAUAUAUCGUUACGUUACCCCUGACGCAUGUCUUACCUGGCAGAAUAAGAAAAGAUAAUAUGAAAAAUAAUUAGUUUAACUCAACAAGACAUAAAGCAAUUCAACAUUUAUGUGUACAAUUUUGUUAAAAUUGUUAGAAGUAAAAAAUUAGAUAUGAAUGUUUCAUAAUAAAUUAUUUCACUUGGGAACGCCAGAUUUAUGUUCACUCGGUGCUGAAAUAAACGAAUGUCUUCUAUAUCUUUUACAAUAGCAAAUGGGUAAAACUUAAGGUGACAGAAAUAACUAAAACGAUCCCUUUCCAUUUUUAAAUGACAACAUUUCAUUUUUGGUGAAAAUAUUGUCUGUUAUACUGAUUUAUUAAUGAUAUACAUUUUGUACCUUGUAUUAUAGUAACGUAGAUACUUUAAAAUAUAAUUCCAAGCUUACCAUAUUUGUAUCCCCCGACAACAAAGUUGUAAGGGGUGGGGUAUACUGGUUUCAGGUUGUCUGUCUGUCUGUCCGUAGACGCAAUCUUGUGCGCACCAUCUCUCCUUAUCCUCUUGACAGAAUUUAAUGAAACUUCACACAAGUGAUCAGUACCAACAGUAGUUGUGCACGGGGUAUGUUAGCUUCUUUUAGAAAAAAAAAUUGCAGAGUUAUGGGACUUUGUUUUUUUGUUACUAUACUAUAUACAUAGACACAAUCUUGUGCGCACCAUCUCUCCUCAUCCCCUUGACACAUUUUAAUGAAACUUCACACAAGUGAUCAGUACCAACAGUAGUUGUGCAUGGGGCAUGUUAGGUUCUUUUAGAAAAAAAUUUUUUAAGAGUUAUGGGACUUUGUUUUUUUGUUACUAUACUAUAUACAUAGACACAGUUUUGUGCGCACCAUCUCUCCUCAUCCCCAUGACACAAUUUAAUGAAACUUCACACAAGUGAUCAGUAACAACAGUAGUUGUGCAUGGGGCAUGUUAGGUUCUUUCAGAAAAAAAUUGCAGAGUUAUGGGACUUUGUUUUUUGUUACUGUACUAUAUAGAUGGACACAAUCUUGUGCGCACCAUCUCUUAUCAUCCGCUUGACACAAUUUAAUGAAACUUCACAGAAGUGAUCAGUAACAACAGUAGUUGUGCAUGGGGCAUGUUAGGUUCUUUCAUCGACAAAAAUUGCAGUUAUGGGACUUUGUUUCUUAUUAACAUACUAUGUACAUAGUCUGCAUAUGCAGUCUUGUGCGUGCCUGAUCUACCGAACCCUUGCACACAUUUUAAUGAAACUUCACACAAGUGAUCAGUACCAACCCUAGUUGUGCAUGGUGCUUGUUACAUUCUUUUAGAUAAAUAUUCUGCAUAGUUAUGGGACUUUGUUUUUGUUACUAUACUGUAUACAUACAGUCUAUAUACAUACAGUCCACAUAAUUAUGCAAUCUGUGUACUGUGUCAGUGCAUGCGGGGGAUACAUUCAUCACCUUUAGUGAUAGCUCUAGUUUCUAAAGGAAUUGAAUUCAAUGAAUCUGUAUUCUGUAUAUAUCGUUUUAAAUUGUAAAAUGAUAGUAUUUUUAGAAGUAUUUUUAUUGUUUUAACACUGUAGUUAUACUUUUUUUAAAUGUUAUUUGUGAUUAUGUUUUACAUUUUAUUUCUGCUUGAAAAAAAAUAAAAUGCCAUACAGUUGUGUUGAUUAUUUUAGUUUAAGAAAUAAAAGGUCAUACAAUUGCAUUGGUUAUUGAUGUUUCGGAAAUCAAAAAUGAUUUUCCUUUAAUAUCUCUU